ACUUAUCCUCAAUUAUCAACUCAAACCUCCACCUCUAAUCUAAGUGUUUAAUUGUACUUCAUCUUUCCUUUGUAUCGAUAGAAUGAACUUCUAAGAAGCUAAUACCACCAUCAGAUCAAAAGAAUCAAUUUAGAAACAAUACAAACUGACCUUAUGACGCCAACAGGUUUCCAAGUCUUAAAAGUUACGGCUGCAUAUCAGAAUUGGUGGAUCUAUUGUUUAGAUACUGGUACCAUUAACAACACAAGGUCUCACCAUGUGUAGGCGUUUCCAUCCAAUGGAAUCAUUCCGAACAAUUGGAAUUACUAACAGAACCACUGAGAUCACCAACUACUGGAUGUAGAUGCCCUUAGCAGGAACUUCCAACAUCUAUUAUACACUCCACAUGACUUCUGUAUAAAAUGAGUCAAUGUGUGGUUAUGCUCCUGGUUCGGGAUUUAUCAGACAUAUUAGGUGGAUUUGAGCCACCAACUAAGCCGUAAUAACUCUUCUACCGGUCUGUUGGCUCUCCCUCGCUUGAGUUUUUUAUUCAAAUAAAGUCAGUCUAUACGCCUUCCAUAUAAAGUGUUAAACCUAGAAAAAAACUUUCAUGGUAGAAUACGUUUAUUUGUAUCAUGUGCAUUUGAACUAAAAAAUCUAAUAUACGUAUUCACUCUAUACCAACAUGUUCAUUUUAUGUUCUACGUGAAAAUAAUUUUGUUCAAAAAGCCUUUACAUUGCUGACCAGCUUUAUAUUAACUUUGUCUUUUAAUUUUAUUAUUUUAAAAAAAUGGAAAAGAGGUUGAAGUAAAAUGGUGGUAUUUCAAGUGGCUGUAUUUUUUUACGAACUACAUUCACCUGAUUCUCACUAAAAUGAGAUAUGUAGGCAUCCCUUGUCGGGUUCGGUGUCUAUAAAAAAAGGGUAUCUUAUCCAAUAAAAGAACUUGACUUUUACUUUCUCUUUCCUUCCUUGAUUAAUGUGUGUGAUAAAACUUUAUUUUAAAGGUACAAAUGACACCUACAACUAAAGUACAUGGUUCUGAAAGUCCUAGAAGUAGAGGAAUUCCAGAAUAUGGCACCUACAACUAAAAGACAUGGUUCUAAAAGGCCUAGAAGUGAAAGGACUCUAGAAUGCAUGAUAUUUGACAUAAUACCCAAGAAUCUACGGUGAUGGUGGACAGACAUGGGGAAUUAUGAGCAAAGAAAUGUAAAAGAACAUUUGGGGCAUCUUGUGAAUUUUAUGGAGAUUGACCCAAGAAUAAAUAUGGUUGACGCAUUGAUUCCAUUCUGGGAUCCAAAACUAAUGUAUUUCAAUUUUCUAACUUUGAGAUGACACAAACUUUGUAAGAAAUUGCCAGUAUCAUGUGAAAAAAAUCCAGUAUUCAGGGUGUUGAUCUUCGCAGCAGAAGACCUAAAAUCCCAAAGAACGUCGACGCCAACAAGUUCCAGGAACUUCGAAAGAUCAAUAAAAUAGAGAAGGAGAGUUUGAAAAAUGGGUGAGUCUCUUUGGACUUUCUAUAUGAGAAGUACGAUCAAAAGGAUGGAAUUAAAAAUUACCACACCCAACUUAGUAAUCAAAGGGACUUAUAGGCUUGAAAUGGAUGUUUUUCAUUCAUGGUGGCGGUUUUGGGGCUCAUCGUGUUACUCAAAAGGGAUAUGCAUAUCGACAUUCAUUUGGCAGAUGUGGUGAAGGCGCUAACCACAAUCAAAAGUCCUAUCAUUAUUCCCAUGAUCCUGACCGAUAUGUUCUAUGCAUUGACUAAAUGAAAAAAUGGGGAAAUGUACUUUCAAGGGUGCAACAUCUUGCUGCAAAUAUGUUUCUUAGAACAUUUUUAUCAUCAUGAUUGUGCACCCAAGUUCACUCCAGAUUGUUCUUGCUGCAAAAUAGUUCUUAGAACAUUUUUAUCAUCAUGAUCGUGCACCCAAGUUCACUCCAGAUUGGUGUAAUUAUGUUUCCUCUCAUAAGUAAGAAAAGCAAAAAUCGAUUUUCCCAAAGGAAUUUUAGCAUGUGAAGAGAAACUCGUAUUAAUCACAUCUGAUGAAAUUGUAUGAAAUUAUUAUUGAUUCCCAACUAAGGAUGUUAUUUGCAUGUGUACUAGUAUCUCGUUUCUUAUGUUGAUUGGAUUUAGAGGUAUCCAAUCCUAUGCCCCAUUUCGGGUUAUGCGUCGGCUGGCUAGAGUUCAAGAAGUCCCACCAAAUAAUUACACGAUUACAUUUGUAUUUGACACCCCCAUUAGAUUUUGCCUUUGAUAGCCAAAAUAUUCUGAAGAUCUGAUUCGGGAGUAUAAUUUAUGAGCAAAGUUAAAUGGUUAUGGAGUAAGAUAAAGGAAAAAUGGUGUGUGAUCACCUAUCAUGGUUUCGUGAUCUAGUAACAUUUGGUGACACUCCCGAAGGAUUAAGCAUAAAAAAAAGACAAGCACAUCAUAAGAUGGUUCGAAAAAGAGUUGGAGAAGGCCAAAGCCAACAUAUCCUGACAAAAAGUUCAAGUCCAAAUAGGAAGAAGUCACCAGUUGAAAUUACAAGAUGUUUAGAGGGAAUUGAAGAACACAGAGAGGAAAUUAGCUCGAUUAGAAGAGGAGUUAGAGAGCAGGAUGUAUUUGUCGAAAAAAUCAAAUCUUUAAGAUUUCUCGAUUGAAGAGGGACGUAGGCCUCAUUUGUUUGCACUUAAUGGAGGUCUGAAUCUUAAUCAUUCAGAUUCAGCCCAUUAAAUUUAUUUGUUUUAUCUUUUGAAAUACCUCUUAAUAGGUAUGAAGAGGUAUGAACGAAUCAGGUCUAUAGGAGAGUCUUAAACACAUUCAGACUCAUUUGAUAAGUUAUCAACUAAUAAAUCAUAUCUUCUCUGCUUUGGACGUGCCUUUUUAUCUCAUAACUAAAAAACUUUUUUUCUCUGUUUUCUCAAUCAA
This is a long non-coding RNA of Solanum lycopersicum (tomato), 2882 nucleotides long. RefSeq lists it as uncharacterized. The record is from RefSeq and is a predicted model, not a curated record. NCBI's taxonomy places the organism in Eukaryota, Viridiplantae, Streptophyta, Magnoliopsida, Solanales, Solanaceae.